RNAcentral lists this long non-coding RNA (38886 nucleotides) under Medicago truncatula (barrel medic). RNAcentral describes it as "long non-coding RNA (MTRU_LNC007681)". Lineage: Eukaryota; Viridiplantae; Streptophyta; Magnoliopsida; Fabales; Fabaceae. The record is from RNAcentral.
UCUCCUCCUCCUCCAGAAUCAAUUCCAAUGUCUUCCAUCUCAUCUUCCUCUCAUGACGAUCUUCACCUUAGAAAUGAAUAUUUUCAACUACUCCCUCUCUUUUUGAUAUGACAAAGGGGGGAAUGAAUUAAGGAGCUAAAUUUAGAAAUUUGAGAAGUAAUAUUUUGUGUACUCUAGAAAUGAAUAUUUAGAAAUGAAAUUUGAGAAGUAAUUUAGAAAUUAAUAUUUUCAACCACACGAUCUAAUGUUUGCUUAUUUCUCCUACUAGUAUUUUAAUUUCUAAAUUAGGAUUAAUUGCUUUUUAUUUUGUUUUAAACCAUUUGAAUAUUCAAGAAAAUCAUUUGUGAUGUAAUUUAUUUAGUAUGAAACUAUGAAUGAUAUAUUAUGGUUCAAGUAAAUCACAAGUUUAGUUACUCAAUUUGCAUUUUAAAACUUUAAUAUGAUAUUGAAUGCUAAAAUUUUAGGGAGAGCUCUUUGUUAAAAAUAUACAAAUAUUGUUACUGAUUUGCUUAAUGAGAAUCAUAAAUUAAAAUCUAAUUCAACAAGUUUGUCAUCAUAAAAAAUAAGAGUUGCUGAGGUAAAAUUCCAAUUUUAUAAUAAACAUUUGAAGAAUAUUUUUAAGACUGAUAUCUAACCUGUACUUUUGAGUGGUUUAAUUUAUAGACAGGUUCUGAUUAUGAUACAAGCAUCUCAUAUUCGCGACAUAAUUUAAUCCAUCUUUGUGACAUGAUGCAUCCCUCUAAAUUGCGAUAGAUUGAUAUUUUGUAACAAAAUCCAUCACUAAUUUGUGGUCAAAAUCAAUAAUUAUAUGUUAUGUUUUCGUUUGGUAUUAGUGAUGGAAGAAUUAAGAGUUUGUUUGAGUUCAAGUGGUUAAUGAGUUCCACAUAUGAUGAAUUGUUUAAGAGAAUCUGAAUUCGAUUUCUGAGUGAAAUAAUUCUAUUAUUAACCAAACUUUACUUAUCUUCUGAUCGAACUCCAAAUUAUCAAGACUAUUUCCAUUGAGAACUAGAGGGUUAACACAACCAAAAAAACUAAGAGUUGUCUAAUAUGAACCUCCUAAAAAAGGUUUAAAGUUGGACAUUUACUAUUUUUAGCAAAAGAUUGAAUUUUAUAAUAAUAAUAGUAAAAGGAAAAAAAUGUGUAAUGUUUUAUCAAAACUUACAAAAAUCGAAUUUUUCUAGAAGUCGAAAUUUUUUGGUGGAAUCUAGAGAUCAAUUUUAGAUUAUGUCCAUCUAAAGUCGAUCAUUUCCGUUUAGAGAUCGACUUUAGAUAGACAUGAAAAACUCAUAUAUGUGAGGAUACAAUUAUGUCGCAAUUGGCUAAAAUUUCUAGAUCUCCUAGCUAAAUAUUUAAUGUCCAACAUCCACGGUUUUGUUUAUGUGGUUACAUUAAUUAGUUUGCGACGAAAUUGUGUUGCUUUAGCGACAAAUCACAUACCCUAUCUAAAUUUAGUUUUUUUUCUUCUUCUAAUGGAGUGGCCAAUAAUAAAUAGUUUCUUUUAAGGGAUAAUAAAUAGUUUCUUCAAAAAAAAAAUAGCCAAACACAAAAGCUAUCGGAAAAAAGCCCAAGGACCCAAAAAGAUCCCCGGUCACACACAAAACCAACAAAAAAUGAAGCCCAUCCCAACACGCCAACAUGAGAAAUAAAGACAAAAAACACCCACAUGACAGAAGAACCUCGAAAUCCUGGAACCACCCAAACCCUCAAAGACAUAUAAGAUCCAUAUGUGUCAAACAACAUUGAACCCUAAAGGUGUCAACGUACAAAGAAUUGGUUGUCUCCCACUCGUAAGGGGAGCCGCGCGAUGCCUAGAGAAUUUACCAAAGAAUCACUCCCAAGAAUGAAAAAUAAUCCAAUCAACAUGUUGCUGCUCAGUCUCGAAGUUACUUCUUGAGAAAGGUCAUUACGAACUUUUCAAAUAUACCACACAUUCGCAUGCCCUAGCUCUCCUCCUAUAUACACCUAAAAGAGAACACACCAACUAAAUGUUAAGAACUCGGACACUGCAUAUCAAAUGCUCAUACACGACUACCAUAUUUGAUGUACUGAUUGUGUACUCUUUUUUUUUAUCCAAAAGUACUAAAAGUAAAUGAAGAAAGAAUAUGAGGAAGUAUACAUAGUACAUUUUUAUUUGUCUAAAAAGUAGUGAAAAUUUAACAUGGUUGGUUAUUAUAAAGUAAAACUAGCAGCCCUAAACACCGUAGUAGCAAACUUAAGCCAAACCCAUGCUGGCCCAUCAACUUAUAUAAUAAUUACCCACGAACGUUAGUGGAAAAACUCGGUUGCAUAUUUUAUUGUCUCCCCUAUAAUUGUUAUAACCUACAAAUACUUAUACGUCACUUAAAUUUGAGCAAUCUCAUCCAUAAAUUCCCACCCCACAAGGCCACAACAACGAUUAAAGAAACAAAUUAAGAGAGAUUAUACAUACAUAUACACUCCUACUUAGGUCCAUUCCACCAAUUAAAGGAAUCACAAACAAGAAGAGAAAAAUAAAAUAGCUAGAGAGAAAUACAUAAAGAUGAGUGAAGAAUGUGGUGGAAACACUAUUGCUACCUCUACUACUCCAUUAAACUGGUGGUAUCUUCAAGCAAAUUCUCUUUCUUCUAAUUGGAAUGAUGUUAAACAUGCAUGGAACAACCAAAUGAAUAAUCCAAAUUCUUCCUCUUCUUGUGAGGAUCAAGAUAUAUCAGUUUCUUCUACAUCUUUCACCAAUGCAUCAAACCAUUCAAGCCUCACUGUUGAAUCCUCUCGAAGAGUAUUCGUCGAGCCGCAUGCACCACCUUCCUCCAACGACUUCAUGGCCGAACAUGCUUCGGAUAACCAACUAUGGAGUCAUGUUUUAUCGUAAGUUUCGUAAAUUGUUAAUUAUUACAAUUGUGCUAUAUGUUAUAAUGAAAACUAGUCUCAAUAUCACGAAAUAAUGUGCGUUAGAAUUUCAGUACAAAGGAAAAAAAAUUCAUAUGCUAUUGACUGAAAACAUGGAUCUGUCCAAUGAUAUUAUUUUGUGACACUUCUUAAUGGAACCCCUUCAUGACAGUAAACAAUUUCCUAAUUAUUAAUAAAUAUCUGAUGUUUUUACUGCUAUAUAUUAUUGAAACUGGCAAAAAAUUUUAUUGCUAUAUAAGAGACAAAUCUUUUACAGUUUUAGGUUAGAAAUUUUGUGAAGUUUAAGGGUGUUUUAAGUUAGGUAUAUAGGGUUAAAGUAUACGAUGGUUUUUUUCAGUGUGAGUAAAUAAUAUUCUUCUAGGCCUUUGCUUUCCACUAUCUAUAACAUGCUAACAGCUGUUAUGUGCACUAUAAUCAGUGUUUUCACACUAUGCAACAAUGAUCUCUUGUUUAUCCAUCCACAUACCAAUAAAAACCCUCUUGGAUUCUGUAAGAUAUAUAAUUAAAAAGUAAAUUUAUUAUAUAUUUUAGUAUAUAUACAGCUAAUUAGCUUUUUGUUUUGAUAAGAAAUGUUUGUAUAUUUUAAUUACAACUAAUUUACUUUCUUAUGUAAAAUAAUUUAUAGAGGUGUUGAUUCAAAUGGAGAGUUACACAACAACCAAGAAAUUGGAGAGAAUUUCUUGGAUGGACUAUCAUCAAAAACCAUGACAAACACUAUGUUUGAUGAACCAGCUUGUGACUAUUUGAAGAAACUUGAUACAACAAGUUGGGAAUAUAAUACUAGUGGUUCAACUUCAUUCAAUACUAAUUUUGAGAAGCACUUAAAUGGGUACAGUGAAGCUCUUAUUGAGAAUAAUGAAAGGUUGACAAAAUUAUCCAAUCUUGUAAGCACUUGGUCUAUUGCCCCACCUGACCCUGAAGUUAGUAGCCACUUUGAUUCACAAACAAAUAACAAUUUGUCUACUAAUUUGAAUAAUUCUAAUUCGUCCAAUAUGGAUCAUAAUCACUACACACAUGAUUCUGACCCUAAUUGUCAUUUCAAACUACCUUUUGGUGAUUCCACAUCAUGUACUAUUAGAGAAGGAGUAGGUAAUAAAAUGUUCCCUAGUUGCCUUGAUAUUCAAGACAUGAAUAAGGUUAAGGAAGAAUAUCAUCAUCAUGCAAGUGAAGUGAUGCAAGGACAUGUAUUUAGAAAAUCACUUAAUCCAAAUGGAUAUCUUGAUGGAUUUAACUCAGUGGGAGAUCACAAUGGCAAAUUUUAUGAAGGGUUGCCAAAUAUUUCACCAUGCACCAAAAAUUUCUCAGAUGUUAUAUCCUUUAAUAGUAGGCUUGGAAGGCCAGUUGUUGGAAUCCAUCCACAAAGGCCUAAUAUGAGAUACUCAAACUUAUCUGAGUCAAAGAAACAAGGGCUUCAAACACCAUCACAUGUGAGUUUUUUCUUCUUCUUUUAUAGACAAAUUUUAUUUGUUAAUUUGUUUUGUUAGCAGCAUACAAAUUUCACUUAAAAUAGUGAUGAUCCAUCUUUAUAUCCUAUAUUUUUGAGAGAUCCAUAUUUUUCUAAAACGGUAAAAUUUAUUAAUAAUUAAGUUUCUGCACUAGACGAACAGAGACCUGUAAAAUAUAUAUGAGACAAAUCCGAAAAAAUAUAUGAAGUAGCGACAAAAAAUUUAAAAAGAAAUUUUUAUAAUGUAUUUGUCUCUAUAAAUUAGACAUGGAAAUUUAAUUAUUUUUGUUUCUAAUUUCUUGGUUGAUUUAACUUUUUUUAGUAUGGCAACUAAUUUCUAUUCAAAAUUUAGAGAAAAAGUCAUGCUAGCUCUGACAUUAUUUUGUCAAAUAAAAUGUGUAUGCAAUUAAUUUAUGCAGAUGAGAACCACUAAUGGAAGAGGAGAGGGAACAACACGUGAAGUAAAGAAGAAAAGAUCUGAAGAAUCAUCAGAAGCAAGUUUGAAAAAGCCUAAGCAAGAUACUUCAACAACAAAUUCAUCUUCAAAGGUACAUAAAUAUAUUUAUUAUAUAUUAUGUAAUAUACGUACCAACAUGAACUAAUUAUGAGUGUAAAAAAGUCAUAUAAAGUGGGGGAAACCUUUUUAUUUUGUGUAUUAAUGUAAAUUAAGAAACUUCUAUUGAUUGUUUAAAAGGUGCAAGCACCUAAAGUCAAGCUAGGAGACAAGAUCACAGCCCUUCAACAAAUUGUGUCUCCAUUUGGAAAGGUUACUACAGAAUGCACUAAUCCCCACACCCUCUUCCCUUUUUCAUUCCUAUCUUUUUUGUAUAAAUAAUUCACAGUGCUUUUACUUUUCUCACUACCUACUUCAUAAUAAUCAAUUUAUUUUAUUUUUCUUUGUUGAAUUUCAGACUGAUACAGCAUCUGUGCUGUUUGAAGCAAUAGGGUACAUAAAGUAUCUUGAAGAACAAGUCCAGGUGUGUAUCAUUAUGGAAAAGUUCCCAUUCAUUAUGCAUUAUAUGUAACUAUAUAGUAUAUAAUAUACAUUAUUGUUGCUUUUCUCCUCCUUUUCAUUUUUAAUUAAUGCCAAGGAAACUUGACUUCUAGGAUUAUUAGUUCUUUAUCAAAAUGAAUAAACUAACAACAAUGCUGUGUUGAGCGAUUACACAUUUUCCAUGAAUAUCUCAUGAGCUUCAUCAACUAUAUAAUAUAAGGAGAUUUUAAAUAACACCUAACUAAAAUCUAAUUAUGAUUAGUAAAAAUAUGUGCCCCUGCCAGUAUGUUAAUCUUAGCUGCAACAAAUUACAAAAUUGUAUACUAUUAGUAGAUUAAAAACAAAACAAAAUGAAAAAUAAAAAUUUUAUAGGGACUAAACAUGUUUAACCAUGUACCAAAAAAAAAACAUAUUUAACCAUAUAUACUUUAAGUGAUUAAAGAUGCAGGUUUUUUUUAUCAUAACCCUUCCAUUCCUAGAAAAUGGCCUAUAUAAUACAUGUUCCGGCCGGAAAGUAAGUAAAGUCUGACAAAUAAUCAUUUUAAGUCAUAAUUUGAAACCAAGUUUCUUCUAAACUAUUGGUAUUAAAGGUGCAGCUUCAAACACAAACAGUUCAACUAUAAGUAAUAUAAUCAUCUUUUUCUUCAUUAUAUACAAUUAACAGUUUAAUUUAUCUUUAAUUAAUUCUUUUUACGUUCAUAAUUAUUAUGCAGUUACUGAGCAACCCUUACUUGAAGGCAAAUUCACACAAGGUAAUUAAGAAAUUAAUCUAUAUAUAGAUAUCUCUAUUAAGUACUUUUCAAAAUUAAAUUAUUCUCUCAAAAUUUCACUCUUAAUUAGAGAUGAUUAACAUAAUAAUUAAUCCAGGAUCCAAGGGGAAGCUACUUCGAUAGAAAAGAUAAGGAGGAUGCAAAGCUAGACCUUCGAAGUAAAGGUCUUUGUUUAGUUCCUACUUCAUGUACCCCUAUAGUUUAUAGAGAGAACAAUGGGCCAGAUUACUGGACACCAGCGUAUAGAGGAUGUAUGUAUAGGUGAUUAAUAACACAUGCAUAUGACUUAUGCCAAAAAUAGUAUGUGGUUGUAUGUACUAUAAUCUUGGAAAUUAUAAGAUCUCGUCAAUAAAUCAUAUAUUAUCCUGAAUGUAACUAUUUAUUUAUUGUCUUGAUGUAAUGCCUGGUUACACGAGUAUACACAUUUUAGUUGACCUUCAAACAAGGGCUAGUACUUAGCAUUAUUGAUUUUUCUUUUUUUAAAGUUCUCUUACUAGAAAGAAUGUGUUUUUCAUACUAAAAAAUUACUUGAGUAAAAAAAACGAUAUUAAUAAAAAGACUCUUAAAGUAAAAAUGUUUCUCUCAGUGAUAUAGACAAAAGAUGCACAUUUUACCAAUUUAGCUCUCCAAUUACAAACAAAUUAUUAACAGUCACAAUUGUUGGAUGAUGUAAAAAUUUGACAUUAACUAAUGUUUUUUUUACGGAUUAAUAAUUUUUUUCUACGAAUAUAUAUUCAAUUUUCAUUUUCUAUAGUUUUAUUCAAAUUGCUAACGAAGGAAAUGAAACACUCAUGUAAUGUAUAUGUGUGAUAGGGAGAAGGUGAUAAGCAAACUAGCUAGGAUGAAUGUAUUUUCAAAAUCAAUGAAAAUAAUGUUUAGGCACUUUCAAAGUUUAUCAAAAAGUUUUAUAUGUUUUAAAAAAAAUGUAAAAGAAGAUUGUGAUGAAAAUAUUCUUUUAUGUUCAUUUGUUGAAGUGAAAAUAAAAAAAAAUAAAAUAAUAUUUAUUAGGUAUAAUUCAGAGUAUAAUUAAUCUCACAUUGAGUCUCUCAUUAGUUGGUUAGUCAAAAGAAUAUGAAAUUCAUUUUAUUUUCUAAUCGAAAAUUAAUUAUAGCGAAGCAAUUAGAUAAUUCACACCUAUAAUACAAUCUUUAAUUUUCUAAUAGGUGUAAAUUCUCUUAUAGGUGUGAAUUAUAGCAAUUAGGUAAUUUUCUAAUACAUACCUAUAAAAUUAUCUAAUCUAAUUGUUAUAAGAAACUUCUAAGGUACACUCAGAAAGUGAGGUGUACCGGUACUCAUGCUUCAUAAUUUUAUAAAUUAACGAUCAUUUUUUAUGAAAUAAAUAGUUAUUUGUUAAUAUUAAUAUUUUAUAGAACAUCAUUUCAUAAGAAAAAACAUCAUUUCAUUGUUUAUAAGAAUUAUAAUAAUUUUUUUUACAUAUUAUCAUAAAAAAUAAUCAAUGUUCUCAAUUAUGAGUGAAAAAAAUUCAAAAAAAAUUAAUUUUAUUUCGUUGACACUUUUGAUAAAUAAGAUUUAAUUAUUAUAAUUAUAGAUGAUAAAAAAUAAUAUUUUUCUUUAAAAAAACAACUCAUUUAACUAUUAAUUUAAAAAAUGAGUAUACCAAUACACUCAAAUAUAUUGGAUGUACCAUAAAAUUUGCAUUGUUAUAAUUAUCUUAUACCGAAGUAAUUAGAUAAUUCACAGGUGUGAAUUUUUUGAUGAUUGUAUUAUAAGUGUGAAUUAUCCAAUUGCUUCGCUAUAAUUAAUCUCCACCUAAAAUUUCACUAAUCAACUUUAGUUGAGUCUCUCUUCUCAAUUACUACCUUCGUCCUAAUUAUAAGACUCUUUUGAAAAAAUAAUGGGAAUUAAGAUAGUGGAUAUUUGUAUUAAAUAUGUUUGUAAUUACUAUUGUUUUUACAAUUUUAUCCUUUAAGAAAUAGGGUUGGCUUAUGUUUUCAACAUUUUAUUUAUUGCUGAUUGAAGAAAAAGAUGUAUAAUAAAUAGGGGCAUGUAUGUAAAGAAAUAAUUAAUGUAGUUGGAAAUAGAAAAGGGGUCUUAUAAAAAGGGACAAAAUUUUUUUCUCAAAAGGGUCUUAUAAUUAGGGACGGAGGUAGUAUGUUUUUUUUUCUUCAUCCAAAAAAACCCUUUUUAAAGUGAAAUAUCAUAGAGUUAUUUAUUUUUUCGCAAAGGACUCACCAAAUAAUGUAUACAUCACCUCAAACCCUAGUCGUCACCCUUUUCUUCUUCUUUUCAGAGGGGUGAUUUAGGGUUAUUUUUGACACAAAAUCACCCCUCCGAAUUGUUUUUUCUUCUAUCAUAAUUAAAUAACUGAUUUCACAUAUUUUCAGUUUUCUUUCGUUUGAUUUGUGAUUACGUCGUCUCUGAACGACUCUGUUUGUUUUGAUUUCCCGUCUUUAUCCGGUGUGUUUUUGAUUUCCCAUCUUAGUGCGGUGUUUAUUUGAUUCAGGUUGAAAGAUUAGCUUUAAGCAAGUGCAGAUCCGAUCAAUGACAAUGACUUUGGCGUCGUCAACGUUGCAGAUUCGGAGACAUGAGUAUUCCGGAGACAUGAAUAUAGUCAUAUUAAUUAUAUUUGUAGGCAUAGGUACUUUGCCGUUUUAUGCUAUUAACAUGGAUGCUGUGAGUUUGUUCACAGAUUCAUCCUUUUUAUUUUUAGCAAAUUUGAAUUUGUAUUGUAUCGAUGUACUCUAUCAAUUUGAAAGAAUGCAUAUUGUUUAUUUUUGUCAAAAAAAUAAUAAUAAUGUAUACAUCACCUUAUACCGUAAGAAGCAUAAAAGACACUCAUUAACAAAAUAUUUGAAUAAGAAAGCAUAGCCUGAACUAUAUAAGCUUUGGAAAGUUAAUGAAAACAAAAUAUAGUUCUCCAAAUCUAAAAACCAAGCUGAUUAAAAUUGUUGAAAUUGAACAUUUGAGUUGACUCUAGUGUUUGUCACGAUCAAUUUGCAAGAGAAGGACCAAAUUUGACAUGUAAAUCAAAAUAUUUGAUAAAAGAAUUAGUGUGCAUGUUCAUCACCUGAUGUACAGAGAAAAAUACUAAAUAAAUUAUAUAUUCAUGGAUGGUCAACUGAGAGUUAGCUAAGUGUGCAUCACAUUAAAAACUUUUGUAAUAUAUUGUAACUUUUUAGGUUAUUGUCACUAAUUCUCAGUACUUUAGAAUAUGUGAAAUUGUAGAUAGAUUCUUCAUAUAUAUAGAAUCUUCAUACAUAAAAGGUUCACACUCCAUUUUAUACUCCUUAAAUAUGGUAUCGUUUUUAAUUUUUUUUGUAUAAUCAGUAGAAUCAUAUUAUUAAUUGACUGUAGAAAAACAAAACCAUAUAUGGUGGAACAGCAUGGAUGGUUUUGAACAUGUCCACUCACUAACAUUGAACGAUUUAGGAUGAUUUAAACAAGUAAAAGAUGGGAUUGAUUCUAGAAGUAGAGAGAAUGACGUAUUGUUAAGUGCCAAUGAGAAAUUGGUCAAAGGGGAGAUGAGCAAAAAAGCCAAUUGCAAGGUUGGUGGUGCACUCAAACAUAGAUCAGUCAUGCUUCUUAUAAUGACAACCAAGACAAACACACCACCCUCACAAAUCCUCACAAUUUUUUUGGAACAAAAGUAGUUUUUUUUUUUCAUAAUCCAAAUAUAUGGAAUUGAUAUAAUGAUAUAAUUCAUUUCAGUAAUUUUGAAAUUGAUAGUAAUUUCAAAUUUUUAGAAACAUCACUCCCUUCUUUUUCUCUUCUCCUCUUUUCAUCUUCUUCGUUCGUCGAUAAGGAGUGGUUUAGAAUUAAUUUUUUUUGGCAUAAAUCACUCAUCUAAUUAAUUUUUCUAUCUUUUUAUAUAAGUGAUUUUUCGUAUAUUUUUUUUUUUUGUGAUUUUGUCAAUUUAGUACGGCCUAUUAUUUUGUUUGCCAUCUUUGCUGCUAUGUUAGUUUGUUUUUUCGUUUUGUUCUGGUGUUUAUUCUAUUUAAUUGAUAUAUUAGAUUUGAUCUGAAAGCAUUGAUAUCUCAAACACUUUAAUUUUAUUGCAUUGAUAGGCUUUAUCAUAUUUGUAUUUAUAUUUUUCUCAUUUUCCUUAUGUUCUGAGAUAGAAUAUCAAUCAUGGCAAUUUGAAUUUUGAAAUGAUAGGAAUUGAUAUUCACUUUGGCAAUUUUGAAAACUACGGAAUUGAAUUUUGAAAUAAUUUAGAUCUAAAAGAGUUGAUAUUUUUUAACCUUUUUUUUUUUUUUUGUUUUUUUACCUAAAAAAAUAUUUUUUUUCUACAUCUUGUUCGUAUAAGGAUAUUAAUUUAUUUUAUAGACUAAUAAAAAGAUUAACAUCCUUCUUCUUCUUCAGCCUACAAACUAGUUCAUCACCACCACCGACAACCUCCAUAACACUGUUAAACGUUUAAAUCCAACAUCAACAAUAGCAAACAACACCAAGAACCAUUUCCUUCCAAUAAACAAACACAAACUAAAAAUUCUUAUUCAUCGUCAACUCAAACUCAUACCACAAUCUCCGUCAUCAUCAUCGCAAUACCAGAAAACAUUUUCCCUUCAAACUAACAAACCCAAACGAAGAAACUUGCAAACUCGCUUUUGUUGCCUAUAAUUGGAUUUGCACCAUAAGAAUUUUGUUUGUGAAUUUAGAUGGUUUUAUGCUUUUAUGUGGUCGAACGUGGCAUUUGAAGCACUUUCCAUUAACAAUGUUGAUAAACUUUUUUGAACAAACAAUGUUGAUAAACUUAAAGUUGGAUGCAAUAAGCUAUUAAGGUUCAUAGUGCAAAUCGUUUUCUUUUGUUGCUAAGUUUUUUUUUGUUUUUAAAUCUUUCUUUUAUUGGAUUUGGUCCCUUGCCAAUUUCAUUUUUUUUGGUUUUCGUCCCUCUCACUUAUUGACUAAUCAACUCAUUUGCCACGUGUCAUUUGCUUGCCACAUCAUCCAUUGUCACGCCAUCAUCUGAUUGCUCUCAUACAUGUUUUUGUAACAAAUGAUGACAGCAUGAAUGAAAAUCAAAACGUUUGCAUCUUACAUAAUUUGUAUAAAAAAAUGUUUUGAGCCUGAAUUAGAAGAAGCCCGAUCUCUUUUUUUACCAUAUCAUUAAAAAUUUAUAAAGACAAUAUUUUAAACUUUUCUAAUUACCUUUUACGCCAUCAAUCACUUUUAUAUUACCAUUUUUGUAUGUGUAUAGAAUUUUUUUAUACAAUUUCGUCAAAUUUAAUGGAAAAUAUAACAUAUAGCACAACUCUUUUAACAAAGGUUAUAAGUUCAAUCCAGCUAUGAAAUGUAGCAAUGUUAAAUAUUUUGAAGAGAAGCAUUGCGAUUCAUUGCUUUUCAUCAUCUCCCAUUUUGAUGAAUGAAUUGGUAGCAAUUCUCUUUUUAAUUCGUUCAUUCAUGGGUGGAGCUGGGCUUUGUUUCUUCCAUGCCUCCUAAUUGGCCUUUUAUGUAACUUUGCUUUUCGGAAAUUGUUUUUCUCCAUUUUGUUUUUGCUUAUUUUAUUUAUAUGUCUACGUGAGGGACGUUAUACCCCCACACCUCUACACUUAUAUCUUACCCAACAAUUUUUAAAAAUUCCAAUUUUACCCCUUUUACUAUAUAAUCUUUUACACAUAAAUUUUUCACCCUCAUUUUCAACAUCUCUUAAUUAAGGAUGAGUUCACCGCCACAUGAUAUUUUUCUUGAUACUUAUUUCCUUUUUUGUUUUUCACUAUCAAACGUUUCCGAAAAUAUUUCGGAAUAUUCAUAUAUACGUUUACAAAAAUAAUAUGAGAACUAGUCUCUCUUCAAAUGAAUGAUGCAACACAACUUAUCUUUCUCCUUUGAUGGAAAAAAUUGUUCUAAUACCAAUUAUUGAAAGAAAAAAUCAAUAAAAAAUCUUUAAACAAGCGGCAACACAACCACAAAAUAUGUAAAAGAGACAAAAACAAAUCACAAGACUGUUUAUCGACACUUCACACCUUCAUUCAUAAUAUCUUAACAAAAUAUUUGUUACAAAAAUAUGCAUACUUUUACUAGGAAUUGCAAACCCUCUUAUACAAUUAUAAUUUUUGCAUAGAUAUAUGCAAACUAAUCUUUCUCAAUUACAAUUUUUGUAAGAAAAACUACAAACUCUUUUAUGACACACAACUACCCAACCUCUUUUUUUUUUUUUCAUUACUCGAUGUGCGAUGUGAAAGAAUAUCAAUUUUAGAGAACAAAUGACUAUAAUUUAUAGGUGGCCUUUAUGAUUUUUCGCACAAAUUUUCAUACUGUGAAAUGUGAAUAGAUGCAUGUGCAGAGAUGGAGUUCAUAAUUUAAAUCUUACGUUAAAAAUAAAACAAGUUUUUAAUGUUAUAGUUUAAAAAUAAAAAAUUGUUUCUUAUAUACAAUAUUUUUAUGAAUAUUUACAUAGUUUUUAAAAAAAAUUAAUAAUGAAUGGUAUAUUCGUGUCCUGUAUGACACAAUGAAACAUAUGCACAUGAAUAAAUUAUACAUUAAGCCUAAUCAUAUGAUCUGAAAAGAUUUUCUCUACAUCUCGUCGAGCUAGCAAGGUAGAUAGAUGUCAACUAAUAUAUAUACAUUAAUUUUUAAUUUGAAUUUUUUUUAACAGCGUUGGAUUGACUUAUAUGUGAUAUUUUAUUUCAUAUUAGGGUAGAGUCUGCUCAUUGGAAACUGAAGCAAAUGUUGGAAAACAGCAAAGAUGACUUGUGCAAAUGUUGGAAGGGUAUGCACAACAUGAAGUUGCAAUUAGGAAAAAUCAUAGCUUCAUUUCAAAAAAGUUUUUAUGAAGUUGAACACGCACACACAAGUCUAUUUUAUGAAAAAUUGCGUGGAUUUGUUUCUAGAGCUGCUUUAACAUGCAUUGUUGUUGAGUUUGAAAGAGUUAGAUAUAUGGAAAUCGACGAAUCGACAUGUGGUUGCAAACUCAGAACAACAUAUGGAUUGCCUUGUGCUUGUGAGUUAGGAAGAUAUAAAAUUAGUGGUAUACCUAUACCAUUAGAUUCAAUUCAUAUUCAAUGGAAGAAAUUAAGCAUGGAAAAGUCAACAAGAGGAAGACACGGAAACUGGAUAAAACGAUUGAAACUAAUAAAACCUUAUUAUAUGACUAAUAGAAUAAAAACACCCCCUUUGAAUUACAAAGUGUGGCUAGAAGGGAACAAAUACAUUAUACAGUAUAAGCAAAGAGUGUGUUAAUUACUUACAUGACCAUACCACAGGGAGCUUUUCUAUACUUGACAUUAAAUUUAAGACAGUACACGUUUACUUAAGCUUAAUUUUACUAUAUUUAGUUAGCAAAAACAGCUUUUCAACUACAGUAGUUGUUUGAAUCCUUUAAAAAAAUACAAGUAAUUGUUUUAACUUUUAAUCACACAAAUAAACUACUCCAAAAUCCAAAUACAUAAACAAGCUUGGCUAAUGUGCUCUUGAUCUUUACAGACAAAGCAACAAUCACCCUUUAAAGUCUAAACAAUCCCAUUACUUAGAGAUACACAUAAGAAAGCACAAAGAAGCCAAAUCCGAUAUAAAAAAUAAAUGUGAUACAUACACAAGUCACAUAUAAAUAAUACUUCAUCAUCAGGGAACAAUAUAUCAGUCUUUUCCAUGUACAACGAUUCAUUAAGCAAUUAAAAUAGCAAUUGCUAAUAAGAGGCGCGGACAUGACCUCAAAAUAACAGAAUUAUCACAACAGACAACAAGUAAGGAUGGAAUAACACAAUUAAGUAAGUAAUGGACAUAGUAUGAAUAACUAAAUGAAUUCUACGAAAACAAUGUAACUAUAUUUCAUUUCCAUUAAUUGCAUAUAUAGAGGUAACCUUGAUCAGUAGUAUAUCUAUGCCCAUUAAUUAGUAUAUCUAUAAAAAAAAAUAGUAGAUCAUGACAAAAGCUACUUCAGAGAGUUAAACAAAAAAUUAAAAAAGUAAUUUUUUUUUGCGCCUGAACUGGAAUUCUUGGCCAAACGAUUCCGGGAAUAAUUAACCGAAAUACUUUGAACGCGUUUUCCGGAAACUACCGGAACACUUCACACAUGGUUUCCGGAAAUCAACCGGAACACUUUGGUUAACACGAUUCCUCGGACGAUUCCAUGAAAGGACGACGGCAAUAUUUCCAGAAAACGGUUUCGUGGAAGGAUUUAUAACACUAACCCAGAAAAUUUUGAAAAACCUAACCGUGAACGAUUCGUGAAUGAUUCCAGAAAAUAAUUCAGAACAAACACAUGGAAUUAGUGGAUGAGACAGAACACAGAAUCAGAAUAAAUGAUGCUUACUUGUUUGUUGGAAGAAGAAUCAGAAGAGGGUUUUCCAGAAAAGGGGAUUGAACGUUGAAGGAGAAGGGUUUAGAGUGUGUGGGGGUGAAAAGUGAAGGGUAAUUUUGGUAGUUUGUGUUAAAUGUUGGGGUAUAGGUAUAAAUGUAGGGGUGUAGGGUAUAACGUCCCUACGUUAACUCAUGUUGAAAAAAUCGAACGUGAGUUAACUCACGUUGGGCAUAAUUAAGGGAAUGAGCAAUUUAUUGCUUUUUUCAAAUAAAAAGUUGCUUAAAAACACAUGAAAAUGACACAAACCGCUGUAGUUAUCUAAGCUUAGGGUUUUUGGUCAUUUUCAUGUGUUUUUAAGCAACUUCUUAUGUGAUUUUUUUUUUUUUUUUAAUGUUUGUAACAGCUAAGUUUAUCAACUAUUAGUCAGCUUAUAGUUUCUUAUAAUAAUAUGAGAUUUCUUUUUGGGCGAGCGUGUUUAGUUUUUUUUUAAUAAAAAUAGAUAAAUAAAAUAACUUUAAUCAUUUAAUAGUGUUUGUUUAGGUUUUUAUUUUAAAUAUUAUUGUUUUACUCUAAAAUGAAAAGCUAUUAGAAUUAACUAUCUUUAAAAAUUUUUUUUUUUUUUCAAAAAUAUAGAGGUAACACAUGAACAAGUUUUUCUAAAAAAAAAAACAAUUAUUUUUAUAGAAGUAAACAAACAGAAAUAAUUUCAGAUUUUUUAAAGAAACCUCUAAAAAGAUCUCUAGAUUUUUAUAAUACAAAAUCUUUUUUCUUUUUAAGUUGAAACAAAACACCCUUAAUCUCUUUUAUUUGAUUUACCCUAGUUACAUCGCAUAAACCUUGAAUUUCACCAUUUCUAGAAAGAAAAAAAAAGGGUUAAAUAUGUUUUUGGUCUCUAUAAAUAUACCAACUUUUCGUUUUAGUCCCUCUAAAAUUUUCCUUCAACUUUUAGUCCCUAAAAAAUUUUCAAUUACUACUUUUGGUCCCUAUUUUUAAUUUAAUUUUUGUAUUUUUUAAUAAAAUUGUACAGAAAUGUGUAAAAUAUUCUAAAAAAAAUAAAGAAAUUAGAAUUUUUUAACAAAACACAAAUUAAAUAUGAAUUUUUAACUGUAAAAAAUAUAAAAAUUCAUAUUAAAUUCAUGAUUUGUUAAAAAAUUCUAAAUUUUUUUUGAAGUGAUUCUUAUAAUAUUUUGAAUUUUUAUGGAAAAUUUUAUUAAAAAAUAUGAAUUCUAGAUAUGAGUUUACUUUAAAAAGAGACCAAAAGUGAAAAUUGAAAAUUUUAUAGGAACUAAAAGUUGAAGGAAAAUUUUAGAGGGACUAAAUGAAAAGUUGACAUAUUUAUAGGGACUAAAAAUAUAUUUAACCCAAAAAAAAAAUACCCUUAAUUUGUUUUCAAAUUUUAACGUGACCACUGCAGCAACUAUAGACAAGGGAAAAUAUGGCGAUACACGCAGACUCCAUCGGUAAGAAACCUAGGUGUUUCUAGAAAGUUUAGUGGAAUAAUGAUAGUCAUAGUUGAGUCUCAUUGUUUACAAAUGCCAUUUGUAAAUUUUAUUUUGAAGGUGAGAAAAACACAAGAAGGGGGUUGAAGUGUGUUAACUUUUUCUUUUCUUUCUCUAUCUGAAACAAGCAGGUCAGAAGCAGGUAGAAUUCUACUUCUGAAGAGAUGUUCAGAACUAAAUGCAGCGGAUACGAAUAGAGAGAAAGAGAGAAAAAAGACACAGACAAUUUAUACAGGUUCCUUCCACAAACUGGAAGUCAGUCAUGUCCCCCUUGCACUUCCAAGGGGAGUUCACUAUGUAAUAUCUGAUUACAAAUGCUCACUACUAAACUUAGUAUGAGACUUCAAAUUGCUCAAGCACAACUGCAAGAGACUUCCUAUGCUCCUGAACACAAUCAAGAGACUUCUAUUGCUCAAGCACAACUGCAAGAGACUUCUAAAUUCAAACAGAAUUACAAUGAAAAAUGUUUGAGGUUGAACACUUGAUAUACAAUCAAUGGUGUUCACAAUACAAAUCACAGACUCUAGAAUUCCUAAGAUAUAAGCUUUGUUAUGAAAUUCUAAGUGAACUUUGAAGUGAAGAGCAAUUUCAACAGAGUUUUAGCUUAACUGAUGCGUAGUAUUGUUCUUUAGUAACUCUGAGUCUUCACUCCUUUAUAUAGAGUUGUGAAAGAGACGUUGAAAUGUCUUCUUAUUCAAAAUAGAGUCGUUUGAAGCUCUUGAUCUAUCACCAAUGAUCUUUUGCCUGAUAUGGUUAUUGUCCUAUGAAGGAUCAAUUUCAAAUGUGUUCCCAAUGUGAAUAAACAUUGUUGCAGGCAGAGCUGUUAUCCUUGUCUUGUAGCAGAGACAAACUCAUAAUAGUGGAGGUAGUGGUUGUACACUUCGUACAAACGUACUAUGUCAACGCUCUUUGAAGAAAAAGCAUCCAAUGCAUUUCAAAAUAGUCGUGCCACAAUUUUCCAGUCUUCUGCAAUCUUUAGGCGAGUUAGAGUCCUUGAAACAGCUUUUGAAAAUUUAAGUUCAAUCUUCUGAUGAACUGCAGCUUCUGGUGAUACACAGCUUCUGAUGAACUUGCUUCUGAUGACGUCAUCACUUCAGAAGCACUUUGUCUUUAGGCGCACUUCAAACUUCAGGAGCAGUUUUCUUCAGACGCUCGAAGCUUCUCUUUUUGUUGAUAUACUUGCUCUUUAUUUGUUCUUUGAAGACCAAUUUAAUAUGACAAUUUUUUUUCUAUAGUCCUGUACACUUGAACAAAUAUUAGCGUAUCCAAUUGACAAUUUUUAAUACUUUAUUAUCAUCAAAACUCUCAAGGGUUAUUAUUGCUAAACAAAUUUUAUUCCAACACAUUUUACAUACAUAAUCAAUCAAACAAUAUGUUACUCGCAUUUCUUUUUACUUUAUAUUUAGUUAUGUUUUUAUUAGCUUAGUUCUCAAAAAUCACAACGGAAGAACGUAGUUUCUUUCUACUUUAUACUUACACUCUUUAAAGAAUGGAAGAACAUCGUUUCUUUCUUGGCAUAAUCGUUUGGAGGAAAAGAGAAUCAUUGUUGAGAUCUAUUAGCCAGUUCAUCAGCUAAUUUGGCAACAAUUUGUAAUAAUAAAAUUGUUGUAUUAAUAAAAACAAAGCAAGGUGAGGACUAAAAAUUACCAAAUAACUGUGUGAAUAUUGGUAAUAAGAUAGGAAAUAAGAGAAGGAGUGAUAAAGAAAGGGGUAAGGGCUACAAGGGUCAGUGGCCCCAAACCAUCAUCUACGAAGGACACAGUAGCCUGUGCAAUAGCAGCAUGUACAAUAGUGACAUAUUUUACCCUCCAAUUCAUCACUCUUUGCUAGCAAGAAAACUUUUAAAUUUUACCACACAUAAUUAAUUUUCCAAUACAAAUUAAAUGAAAGAAAACACACAUAGAAAGAGAUAUUGUUAUAUAUGCAUACGGGUGGACAAGCAUGCAUGUAAAGUAGCAAAAUAAAUUAUUUAAAUAUUCAUAUGACACAAAAUGAUUGAGGAAUAUAACAAGAGAGGGUAGCUAAAUUUUACACACAAGAAAACAAUAGCCAGAAGAUAAAUAGCUAGGUAUAUUGUUUUCUUCUCCUCGUCUCUUCAUUACUCUUGUCUCCUUAGAUCCUUUCCUCUUGCAACCUUUUUGCUCUCAAUCUGUGAGUUUUUUUUUCUACUUUUUCUUCUGACAUGAAAAAAACAACCACAAAAAAAUCAAAUAUAUAUAUAUUUCAGCUCUUUCUAGCUUCUUUAAAUUAUUUUGUUAUAUAGUUUCUUUAAUUUAACUGAUCUCUUUUUUGUUAUCCUUGUUCCAUGAGAGAAGGAAACAUGUUAAUGAAAUUUUUCUUUUAGAAGAAGAAUUAAACAUUUGAUUAUUAAGUUUUUGUUUAAAAAUUUCAGAUUGCAAAAUAUAUAAUUAUGGCGGCUGCUUCUUCAUCUACAUCAUUCUUUGGAAUCAGAGAAGAAAAUCAAAGUCAAAUAACACAUCAUCAUCCUCAUCCUCAAUCAACUACUACUUCUGCUACUUCCUCAGCUCCUUCAACCACAGUUCCUCAAAAGAAAAGAAGGAAUCAACCUGGAACACCAAGCAAGUAGCUUAAUUAUUUUUAUUUUCAUUAUUACUUAAAGCUUCAACAUGCACACACCCUUCUCGAAUUUUUUUUUUUUUUUUUUUUUGUAUUAUUUUCUCAAAAAACAAGCAUAAUGAAACCCUAAAUCAUGAACAUGAGUUAGGGCUCUGAAUUUCUUUUACAAAAAAGCUAUAUAAGAACUAUGUUUAGGGUGCAUGCAGUCUCCUCCAAUUUUAUUCUCAAAAGCAUAUGAGACUUCGGUUUUAAUUUUUGUAAUAAUUUUUCUAACUUCUACUGUUUUUUACUACUAUUACCAUGAGUUUGUGGCUUUUAAAUGGAAAAAAUAACAAUAAAACAUAGUUCUUCAUUUCAUGGUGCAUAUAUAUUCAAUUAUGAAUACUUCUUUUGAUGUUAAAAAAACUAGAAUUUUAUAAUAUUUUUCUUAUACAAAAAAAUAUAUAAUAUUUUGUUGUUUUGGCAUUUUUCAUGGUAAAAAGAUCCAGAUGCAGAAGUGAUAGCACUAUCUCCCAAGACUCUAAUGGCAACAAAUAGAUUUAUAUGUGAGGUUUGCAAUAAAGGGUUUCAAAGGGAGCAAAAUCUUCAACUUCAUAGAAGAGGACACAAUCUUCCUUGGAAGCUAAAGCAAAAGUCCAACAAAGAGCCAAGGAGAAAGGUUUAUUUGUGUCCUGAGCCCACAUGCGUCCAUCACGACCCUUCAAGAGCUUUAGGAGAUCUAACUGGAAUUAAAAAGCAUUUCUCUCGUAAGCACGGUGAGAAGAAGUGGAAAUGUGAAAAAUGCUCAAAGAAAUAUGCUGUUCAAUCUGACUGGAAAGCACAUUCUAAGACUUGUGGUACUAGAGAAUAUAGAUGUGAUUGUGGCACCCUCUUCUCUAGGUAACAAACAUCAUCUUUAUAUUUAUAUCUUCACAUCGAUGUUAGUCUAAUUAUAUUUCAUAAAUAUGAAUUCAUCACUCUAUAUACAUAAUAUAUGCUACACUUUUGCCAAAUGUUAGGGUUAUACUUAUAUGGUUUGGUAUUGAAUAUUAUUUUAUUUUAUAGAAGUUAGUGUUUGAUUAUUUUUUUACUACCAAUUUUAUUAUAAGAAUUCGAUUAUUUUAAUCAUGUUUUUUUUCAUCAUUCAAUUGCAAGGAAAAUGGUCAUAAGUCAUAACAAUCUGAAGUUUUGCAAGAAAGCAAGUAAAAUCCAACCAAACCGUAGAUCAAACUCAUAGACUCCUUAUAUAUCGUUCUCUUUCUUUCCUCUUCGUAUUGAGCUCUAAUUUAUCUAAAUUGAAGUACUCUUUAAACUUCUUUACUAAGGAACCUUUUACAUAUAAAAAGGUGUGUGUAUAUAUAUAAAUAUAAUAAGUUGAAUUUUUUUACAAUAAGUAAAAACACACAAAGGUUAAAUUUGAACAACAGUCUCUUUUAUGUUCUUAUCCCAAAAAAAAGUGAACAAGAGCUUUCACCCUUUCUCUGUUAGUUUGUGUUUGGGUGUUAGUGAAGGUGUAUAUUGUAUGGCGCAGGAGACUGCAUGCACGUGAGUACACUGUUCAAAUGUAGUACAAAAAUUGAAAUGUUUGAAGGAAAAAAAAUCAACUUUGGUUUUAGGGAACCGUGCCCAUAAUCUUUUAACGUUCACGUGUAGUGAAACAACAUAAUAACUUUGUUCUCAUAUGAAAUGGAUUGGAGGAGAUGCUGGGUUUUGUUCUCUUUCUUGUUAGCUAUUUCUAGUUUUCAAAAUUCAAAUACAUUUCCAUGUUCUUUUUAGCAAUGGGUCCAAGGUGACUAAUUUCCAUGUUACUAACAGAAAAUUCUCUUCAUUAAUUGGUCAUGUUUCUCAUAUAGAUUUGCUAGAAAUUAUGUGAUAUAACGAAUUAUCUUGGUAGAAUAUAGACAAGUAUUGAGGUUGCUUGCAUUUAUUAAGUAGGCCCCAUAUUGAAAUUUUUGAGUAUUGACUUUCAUCAUAGUUGCAAACAAUUCUCUCUUUUAUUGAUCAAAGAAAGACCUCAAAUUAGAAGUUUGAUUUAGAAAUUCUUGGUUUGUUUCAAAUUUUGGCAUAAUCCCAUGGGCCCUCUACUUCAAUUGUAGUUUUCUUAAUUUCAACAUACUAUACUAGUUUCAAUUAAUUCCAAUUAAAACAAUUAGGUUACUCAUAUUCAUUACACAAAUAUAUGGGAUUAUAAUAUGAACUUCCAAAGGCGAACAUAACUAUUUUUGGUAAAUUUUAAUACAAUAUUAGAUAUGUUCUCCUUUUUACUAUAUAUGGUAGGGGUCUACAUUAUACCCACCCAAAAAAAUUGACAAUGAUAUAUAUAUGUUGCUUAAUUCUUUGUAAUUAAUUUUGGUGCAGGCGUGACAGUUUCAUCACUCAUAGGGCAUUUUGUGAUGCACUAGCACAAGAGAGUGUAUUAAGACACCAUAACCCUUUUGGGAGUACUCAUCAAUUGUAUGCCACAAACCAUCACAUUAGUUUAGGCCAAAUAUCCCAUCAAUUGCAAAAUCAUCAGAACCAAAUUACAUCAUCCACUAGCAACAAUAACAACCUUUUGCGCCUUGGAUCAGCACCACCAAAAUUUGAACAAAACUUAAUCUCAUCACCACCUUUAAAUCACUCUUCAUCAUUUGGACACUCAAUCCCAUCUUCAUCACCAUUCUUCAAUAUGAGUGAUAUUUCAAAUCAAUCCUUUGAAGAACAACAAUCUCAACAAGGACAAUUCUUAAACAAACAACUACAUGGUCUAAUGCAUCUUCCUGAUCUUCAAGGCAAUACAAAUACAAACAAUUCAAAUUCUUCCAAUCUUUUCAACCUUAUGGUUCAUGAUCAAUUCAACAACAUGAGUAGUACCCAAGGAACAACACUUUACAUUAACAACAAUAGCUCUUUAAGUGAUCAUCAAGUUGGUUUUGUCAAUUCAAUGCAACAUGGUCAAAACAUGUCUAGUCCUCACAUGUCUGCCACUGCAUUGCUUCAAAAAGCUUCUCAGAUUGGUUCAACUAAUUCUACCAACAAUAACAAAGGUAGUAAUAAUGAUCAUAAAUCAGGUGAUAGGGACUUUGUUGUGUCUGAUCACAACAACAUCAAUGCCACUUUUGGAAAUAGAAGUUCAAGUAUUGAAAAUGAUCAUGACAACAACGAUCUUCAUGGAUUGAUAAACUCUAUUGCAAAUGGAAACACAUCAUCCAUAUUUGGCAAUGAAAGCAAUCUUAAUAUGAGAUUUGGUGGAUCUGAUAAGUUAACUUUAGAUUUUCUUGGUGUUGGAGGAAUGGUCAGAAAUAUGAGUGGUGGAUUUUCACAAAGUGAACAACAACGUGACAUGAUGAAUACUAGUAUGGUUUCUUUGAAUCAUGACCUAAAAUCAGCACAUUCAAGUCAACAUUUUGGAAGCUCAAAUAUCUUGCAAUGAAGAUUGGGGUGAGAAAUUUAUUAAUUUAAGGAAAUAUUGCUUGUUAGUUACAUGUGAAUUAUUCAUUAAUUAAGUAGUAAACUUUGUUUCAAACAUUUAUUUAUUUUAUUUUUGUUUUCCUCAAAAGAAGUGCAGUUCAUUGGUAAAAUGAGGUUCCAAUUCUAGAAAUUACUACAAAUUACAAUCCCUUAUUUUAUUUUAACACGUCCCUUUCCUUAUUCUUUGCUCUCUAUGAUGUGAUAGAGAGAUGUAAUAAAUUCACUUUUGAAUUUCAUGUGUGAGCGAACAUGAGAUAAUAAAGUUUAUAGAAAAAAAAAAUUGAUUCAUUAUAGAUUUUCCUCUAAGAAAAUUAUUUCUCAAUCACAGAGGGUAAAAUUCCAUGCUCGAACCAAGAAAAAAUAUUCAACCUAACAAUUUCAGCAUUGUUAGUUGUGCUAGGUUUUACGGACCAGGACAUCAUCGUUGUCUACCAAUUUUUUUUUACAGAUUUGAGGCGAUUUAAUUUGGUUGAUAAACACGAGUAAAUUACUCAAAUGCCCCUUGGCAGUUAACUGCCGAAAUUUUAAAAAAUCGGCUGCAGUUAACUGUCGAGAAAUUUCAAACCUGAAAUUAAAUAAGGAAAUACACCUAUGUUUUCCUUAAUUAAAUUUAAAUCUUUAAUCCUUUUAAGGAAUUAAACAUAAUUAUUUUUAUGAUUUCAUUCAUAUGAUUUUGUUGCUAUAAAUGAAGAAAUAUGAGAGAUGAAUAAUAUCUGUAAUCGGUAGUUAAUAGACCUAAAAUGAUGAUUCAAUAAAAAAAAUGCAACAACAAAAACGUUACAAAUGAUAGAAUAAUUAUAUUUGUAAUUAUUAGUAAUUAAUUUCAUUGAUGUUGUUAUUAUUCAUAAGUUUGACUAACCUAUUAUUACUUUAUACUAAUAUUUUAGAUAUUAUUACUUUAAUUAACAUGAAAAACGCAACAACAAAAAAUAAGGGGGAUUUAUUGGAUUAAGAUUCUAUGGGAUUUUAAAAGAUUUUUUAAUUAUGAAAAAGUCUUGUGGUAUUCAAUCAAAACUUUUUGCAGCCGGUUCUUUAAAAUUUCAACAGUUAACUGUCGAAGGAUAUUUGAGUAAAUUACUCGUAUUUCUCAGUCAAACCAAAAGUGUGAACAGCAAUACUCAAUUUCAAAAACAUGUAUAUGCCACGGUAAAUAAAGCCAGUUGUUGACUUGUUGAUAGUUGUGUUGUUAUUACUUGUGUACAAAUGCUUACCAAACGAGGGUGGGAUGUUGGCACUCUGUUAUGUUAAGAAUCUUCACGUUUUGGCUAUAUUCCAAUGGAAGCGACAGAGCCUCAUUUCCGUUCAAUUUCAUCUUUGUUUUUUUAUAUACGACGUACAAAUACUAACUAACUAAAGGUACAUUAACUUUAAAAUAAAGCAAGAAAUUUUGUAGUAUUGCUUACCUAAUAUAUAUAUACCUUACUUUUAAAAAUACAUAUUAAAAUAUAUGUAAUAAAAAAUUAUAUUAAAUGCUAUAUAAAUGUUAAAUGUUAGAGUCUCACAUUGAAUAUGAGAAUAGUAUAACAAUAUGUUUACAAGUUAUUUAUAAUAGGUUCUUAAUAAUAAUACUAAAUAAAUAUCAAAACUUAUUUAUAUAGAAGUUAUUUUAGUAUUAUUAAGAGCCUAUACUUUUUUUUUGAGCAAAAGAGCCUAUACUUAAUUGAUAAGAAAUUGUUACCAAUAUACCAACUCCAUUAAGUACCAUAAAUUUGAGAAAGAGACCUUGCAUAUUUUUCAGGUGAUUUUGUUGACAUCUUUUUCUCUUAACACUAGGAAGGACCCUUUAGUUUUUCAUUGUAAUAUAAAUAUUCUUGUACAAGUUGACUACCUUUGAAUUUGCAUGUCGUCGUUGAUGGCUAUAUAUAGGGUUAGAUCUAACGUCAUUGUUCAUUUGGUGGAAGAUUUUUAUGAGGAGUGUGUGGUACAUAACAUAUGCAACAUAAAUAACAUAUUAGCAGUAGUCUCUGCAAUGUUCGUUAUUGUAAUUACUGGUAAAAUAGCUGCGACACUUUUGUCGCAUGUAAAUUCCUUCUUCACAUGGAAAUCACCCGUCCGUGAGUGAGUGAAUGAAUGAGUGACUAUUAACCAACCAACCCAGUCAUUUCAUUUCGCCUUCACUCUCUACCCGUUACAGUUUUUCUAACUUUCUUUCUUUAGAUUGAGUAACUUCAAUAAUGCAAUGCAACUAAAGAUUAUUACUUACAACUUCUAUGCUCAAAUAAUUGUUGCAAUGCAAUUAAACACUCACUCAUGCGUGUCCCCGUGAGCCUAAUCCAGUUUGUAGAGACAUUGCAUUAUAUAUAUAGAGGUUGGGGUUCAAACUCAAACACUCUACUUAUUCACCUUAAAAAAAAUGAAUUUAAGUCAAUUGGCUACCUGACUAAAAAAAAACGCACUCAUAUGUUUUAUUUCAUAAGCUGGUUUUAGACCUUUUUAUCUGAAAAACUUAUCUCACAUUGUAGUUGAUAUGUAUGGUUAGACCUUUUGUGAGGUUUGUGUGUCCCCUAGUCUAUCACUCUCUCACAGUUAAACUACUUUGUUUUUGAGAGGUUUGUAUACCUUACUUAAAAACAACUAUCAUUCUCUCAUCAAUUUCAUCAUUAAGCUAUUAAAAUUAACUAAAAAGUACCUAAACUAUUCUCACAUAUAACUAUUAGCCCCUUGGUUGACAAAGUUAAUUUUUUUUAUGAUGGUUUAUGGACUAAAUUGAUAUAUUUUUUAUAGUUUAAAGAUCUUCUAGUUGAUUUUAAUAACUCGAAGGCUAUAUAUGUGAAAAAAUUGAUAGUUUAAGGAACAAGUUGAUUGUUUAUUCUUAAUUUGAUUGAAGUCUACUGGCACACAAAUUUACAAGGAUACGGUGGAUAUGGGGAAGUUAUACCUGAUAUCCCUACAUUUAAUCUUUUACCCCCUACAAAUUGUUGAAAAUGCCAAAUUUACCUUUUAUCAUUUCACUUCACCCUGCAUAAAAUUUUAGCCAACAAUACACUUCCGAGAUUUAAUACUCCAAUUUUCGGAAUAUUCAUAUCAAAUUUUUAUGGUAGAUUAAUUUGUAAACCGGAACAAUUGAGUAAAGAAUUAUUAUCAGAAUUCUUUCUUCUUUCAUCGAGGUUUGAGAGACAAUGAAAGAUGGAAAAUAGAAUACAACAACCUGUAUUAGUUAAUAUAAAAUUAAGUGCAAAGCAAAGAUCAUGAUACCAAACCUCAUCAAUUCUUCUUCCAAUUCAUUUUAUUUAGAUCUAAAAAAAUGAAAGGCCGUAUAUUUCUGGAGUAGAAUUUUAGAUGUAAGGUUGGGAAAUCAAAAAACCUGGCUAAAACUGCAGAAACCUGUUUUCUGAAUUCUUUCUAAAAAAACAGUGUAAAAAAAUGCUUGUCUCUUUAUCUGUAGAUCUAAAAAAAAAUCAUUUCUAAUUCAUCUUGUUUGGAAAUAUGAAUACGAAAAGUUGUAUAUUUUAAUUUUUUUUAUUUUUACAAAAUACCGUUGUUGGGAAUGUGAAUAAUCUAAGAUUAAAUGUAGGGGUGGUAAAAGAUUAAAUGUAGGGGUAUAUGGUAUAAUAUCCUGGAUAUGGUAGGCUUAUAUUACUUAGAACCCAAAUCAUGUUACUUAGGCCCGUCAUCAUGGACUUUUUUCAUGUGGUUUCCAUGCAGGCUAGUUGAAUAUUGCUCUUUAGGCAUCCAUGUUUUGCUCUCAGACAUUUUGAAAUUAUUAUUUUACCUCAAUGAAAAUUAAUUACCAUUUGUUGAUGAACGAUGGUUAGUUUUCAUUCUCUUAUGAACAGUAGUUAAUUGUCGUUCUAGGGCAUUUUAUGUGGUUCAGAUUGCGCAGACAGUUUUUGUGGUCCACGAUACAUAAAAACUUCUAUAAAUUGGUGUGUUUGGUUCAUUUGAAACCACACCACAAAAUCAUGAAUAUUUAUCUAGUAGAUCCGAACACCAAAUUAGCGCAGUUAACUACAACGGGGAAAACUCAAUAUGUUUAGGGUUCAGGUUAAUGCUAUAUCGGUUGACUUGAAGGAACAUAGUUGGACCAAAUUAACAGUCGACUCAACCACAAAGACACAAGAAAGGUGGAAAGUGUUGAGUAUCGUCAUCCAUUCGUUUGACUCAUAUGAAAGCGUCAAGUUCACCCAUAUGAAGUUCAAGAACAACGACAUCGUGAGAACCAUCAAGUUAGACGCUUCAUUGGUCAAAUAUUUUUUAGAUGUUCCGGAAAGUUUGAUUCAGAUUAGGACCUUCAAAGAAAACAGGACUUGCAUGGAUAGACCAAAAGAAAUAAGUAUGUCUUAUUCGUGAUUUUGUAUGUGUUUUAUUAUGUUGUUAAAUUAUGUUAGUGUAUUGUGUUUUAUUAUGUUUAAUGUAUGUUUUUGUUAACUUAUGUCAUUGAAAUUAUGUUAAUGUAUUGUAUUUUAUUAUGUUUAAUGUAUGUUCUUCUGAGCUUUCCUUUGUAACUAAUGAUUAACUACAGUUUCUUCUGAAAACAACAAUUAACUAUUGUUCCUAGAAUGGGAGUUAACUCUUGUUUAACAACGAAAAAUAAUUAAUUAUUAUUUCGGAUAAAAUAGUCAAUUUGAGACGUGUUAAAACAAAGUAUGAGUGUCUAACGAACAAUUUUCAAGAUAGUUUAGUCCUUUUUGGGUUCUACCUUUUUUUUUUAUGAGUAACUUCUACACCUAGUUUCCAUUCUUUUUUGUGUUAAUUGUCCGAUUUCUUAGCAUGUGCGUAACUCACGCAGCGUGACUUAAGUCACACAUGUGUAAAAACUAAGUCAUGUAUUUUUUACACUUGCGCUAAUUAACUAACGCAAGGGUAUUUUCGGCAACACUGCAGGGCGCGAGUGUUUUGUGUUGGGUGAAGAGCAGAAUUCUAAAGUCAUAUAUAUAUAUUAUGGUUUUAAAAGGGUAAUUGCUAAAUCAGAUUCAUAGGAAGCAACUAAGUUAAUAUUGAAAGGGCAUGGUAAAGGGCACCCUUGUUCUCAUAUCAUUUCUCAUAUUUCUAAUUUUCUUGUCUAAUUCAUGAGUUACAAGUUUCAACGUGUCUAACGUGAAGCCAACAAAGUCGUGAAUGCUUUUGCAAGGAAUAUCCAACUUCAAAGUAUUAGCGCAGCUUUAACUUGAUGAACAAACUUAGAGUUUUCUAGGGUUUUAAUUUGAUUUUGUUGAAAUAGAGAGAGAAUGAGAAGAAUGGGUGAAUGAGGAGACAAGAAGUAUUAAAGUUGUGAUUUCAUUUAUAUGUAAAAAUACACAUGAAAGUAGCUUAUAUACAUGGUUUUUUGCUAGGUUACUUGAAGUACAAGUCAUAUAACAAACCCUAAAUACCUUAAGCUAAAAUCUAGUAAAUUUGUAACAAACUAUUAACAAACUAAACUAACUAGAUUUCUAAUGUGAUUAACCAAACAAGCUUGAUUAGAUCACUAACAAACUUGAAUUAUCAACUAACACAAAGUUGCGAUAAUAUAAAAAUAAUAUCAGAACUAGUCUCUCUUCAAAUGAAUGAUGCAUCACAACUUAUCUUUCUCCUUUGAUGGAAAAAUUUGUUCUAAUACCAAUUAUUGAAGGAAAAAAAUCAAUAAAAAAUCUUUAAACAAGCGGGAACACAACCACAAAAUAAGUAAAAGAGAUAAAAACAAAUCACAAGCCUAUUUUUCGAUACUUCACAGUUCACACCUUCAUUCAUAAUAUCUUAACAAAAUAUUUGUUACAAAAAUAUGCAUAGUUUUACUAGGAAUUGCAAACCCUCUUGUACAAUUAUAAUUUUUGCACAGAAAUAUUGCAAACUAAUCUUUCUCAAUUACAAUUUUUGUAAGAAAAACUACAAACUCUUUCAUGACACACAACUACCCAACCUCUUUUUUUUUUUUUUUUUUUUUCAUUACUCGAUGUGCGAUGUGAAAGAAUAUCAAUUUUAGAGAACAAAUGGCUAUAAUUUAUAGGUGGCCUUUAUGAUUUUUGGCACAAAUUUUCAUACUGUGAAAUGUGAAUAGAUGCAUGUGCAGAGAUGGAGUUCAUAAUUUAAAUCUUACGUUAAAAAUAAAACAAGUUUUUAAUGUUAUAGUUUAAAAAUAAAAAAUUGUUUCUUAUAUACAAUAUUUUUAUGAAUAUUUACAUAGUUCUUAAAAAAAUUAAUAAUGAAUGGUAUAUUCGUGUCCUGUAUGACACAAUGAAACAUAUGCACAUGAUUAAAUUAUACAUUAAGCCUAAUCAUAUGAUCUGAAAAGAUUUUCUCUACAUUUCGUCGAGCUAGCAAGGUAGAUAGAUGUCAACUAAUAAGUUGAUGAAAUCGGCUAAAAAAGAUUCCCAGUUGAAGUUUAUUAUUUUUUUGGUGCAACCCAGUUGAAGAUUUUAUUAACUUUGAUGAUGGCUCUGAACUACCAAGUUUUCUAGAACUUGAACAAGUCCUUAAUUUUAGUUGAAUUGCAAUACUAUGUCUAUAUGUAUAGUAUACCGUUUCUGGUUUCAUAGUCUGUUAAUUUUAAGGAAUUUUUUCAAGUGGCUCAAAAAAAACAUAUACAGUACAUUCUUUAGUUUUAUUUACAUCGUUUUCAAUCUCUUUCGCUUUUUUAAAUAUUUACGCAGAAAACAUUUUUUUUUUUUUUUCAAUCAGAAAGAGGCAAAAUUAAGAUUUGCAUUGGUUUUAGUCAUCACCUACUACAUUAAAUUACUAUUUGUGGAAAAUAUUGUUUAUAGCGUGAAACUGUGCUCUGACUGGCUCACAUGCAAACGGACAGUGGCAAUAUUGUUUAAGGAAGUAUUAAUCUUUUUUUUUUUUUUUUUUUUGACAGAAACCAUAUAGUAUUAAUCUAUUAUUACUACUAUAUAUGCAUAAAAAAGGACCAAUUAACCGACAUGCUUUGAGUUAUUUUGUGUUUUUUUUUUUUAUUGUUUCUGAAAAAAUCAACCAACAUGCUUCUUUUUUUGCGCUAACUAAAACUAAUUUAUUUAUGCUACUAAUCAAUUUAUUAAGACUAAAACUUGAGUACAAGUUAGUCUUUUUUUUUGUAGUUGGUGACCUACAAGUGGUACUCUUGUACUCAUUAUACUCAAAGUCAAGGGUACAUGCGUAUGUGUUAUGCUGAAUUCGAAAAUUCAUAGUCAAGACCCAGCAAUAUCAAGAUAUAUACACACAUGUCCUAAAGUGCAUUCUGGAGAAUAAGAACUACAAGUCUAAAGUUUUUCUUUUUGUUAGUAAAGUUAUUUUAGUCCAAGUUUAGACUAUACAACGCUGACUAUGAAAUAUGAAAGGAAAAAAAAACCUUCAAUUUUUGUCAAAAAAAUAAAUUCCAUUGUCUCUAACUAAUUAUUGAAAUUUUAAACAUGUGUUUGGUCUAACGGUAUGGUAGAAAAAAUCACGGCAAAAAUUCACGGUAACUACAAAAUCUAAAAAUUUGUAAUUUCUUUGAAAUUUGAGUUUGUAACUUCGAACGUCAAAUAAUCGUUCAUUAAGUCUCUAAAGCUCACAUGAUCAGACCAGCUUUGAUUGCAAAAUAUGACCAACUAAUUACUAAUAAACAUUUAAUUUUGUUAGCAGAUCAAUUUAUCUGUUUAAUGUUAAAAUAAAUCUGAUCCAAUUCAAUACUUUUGGACAUAGAUUGAAAUGGUUUCCCCCCCCCCCCCCCCCCCUUUUUUUUUUUUUUUUUUGUAAACUAGGUAUCCUCCGCGCGCAACUGCGGAGACUAAUCCCUCGAGCAUUGUGAGACCCAAAUGGACGGCAGACUCUCCCUAAGAGUUUUAACGCUGCUGGAGGUAUUGUAAAUAAUAUUUUGUGUUAUAUUAUUUUUAAGAGUGUAUAUUUCUAUAUAAAAAGAGUGAGUUUUGCCUUCAACCUCGAGGUAAUCGGUUUGAGACCUAGGCACUGAGAACAUGAGUUUUUUCGAUUAGCUCUUUAAAAAAUUAUUUAUAGGAGGAAUAAUUGUUUUUAUGGAAUUUGUCGUGUAAUAAAAAUCUAAAUCGUCUAGUCUACAAUUUUGUAUAGUCUUCAAUUAUGUUGUGAAUUCGGGCUUUGAAACUUCACACCAAUCCAAACUAUGAUGUGUGGAGAAAGUAUCAAUGGCAACCAACAACCAAAUUAACCAUAAGCAAUAACAAUAAUAUAUACCAAGUCUAUAAACCAAGUGCAUAGCAAAAUCACAAUCCAACCAAAUAAUAAACAAGAUAAAAGAGUAAAGAAAAAUAGACAACAACACCAAGAGAUUGUUCACCCAGUUCGGUCCAACCAUGACCUACUCUGGAGGAGAGAUUGAUCUCUUCAAUCCACUAUCAAUGAGUUCUUACAAAGAGAUACAAAUGAGUUACAAGAAAUUAGCUUCAACAAGCUCACAAAAAACAACCCUAAUUUCUACCAAUUUUCCCAAUCUCACCAAUGAACAAGACACUCAUGAUUUUUACUCUCCCAAGGUGUUUACAAUUGUUUCACAACUCUAGAAUCUAACCCCCAAAAGAGAACCAACUCUUAGCCUUUGAUUUCACUUAGGAUCUUCUCUUUUGGUUUCACAAGACUCACCCAAGUUGCUCGCAAAUGACUCUCCACUCAUGUGUUUCCCAACCCCAUGAAUCUUCUCCAAAAGGCACCAACCCUUUUCACAAGAGCCCCCUCUUUUGGUUCUCCAAGAUUCACAUCUUGAAGCUUUGAACCUCACCCAAAGACCCUCAACCUUUAGUAUCUAAAACCCUAAAAGUUUCAUCCUUUGGUUGUUAUGGGAUUCACCAAGCUUACCCAACAAAUGGAUCAGGGAGUGUUUAAAACAUGUUUCAGAUCUGUCAAAAUCGUGUCACAUUUUGCCUUCAGAACCAAACAUGCAUUCGGCAUCAGAAAUCGUGACACGGUUGCCAAAUCGUGUCAUGAUUCUUCACUUUCAUAAAGACUUAAUUUUGAGUCAUAUAUAUACCAACAAAUUCAAAUUAUAUAAAUGGACGGUAUAUUCUUUAGUAAAAGUAUUAUUUCACAAUUUAAUACGUAUUAUUAAAAGAAAUUAGAAACAAUUAUCAAAAAAUUAUGAUAGAUAAUAUAUUAAACUCGUCUAGUGUGUGUGUAUUUUUGAAGGAUAGUGUGUGUGUGUAUUAACAUCAUUCUCUAAUUAUUUUUGUAGGGAAACAAUGUUGGUUAAAUUGAUGUGUACUUUUUUUUGUAAAAAAUAAUCGACGUAUUUUUAAAUGAGAUUUACAUGUAGAGAGAGACAGCGGUAGACAUAGUAGUAGAACAAUUAAAAUUUAAAAGACCACUUUACAAAUUGCACCAAGUGGUCCUCUAAAAAAGAUCACCGACAGUUGCUUCACUUUACCUUCAUAUAUUUUAGAGCAAUGAUAUUUGAACAAUUAUUUAGUACAACAUUUUUUGACAAUCUUCUUUUUCUCUCUUUUUAUUGGUCAAAAAUAAUGAAGAGAAAAAAGAAGAGAUAGAGUAAAAAUAUAAUAUGAAUAUGAGAAAAAAAAUUGUCUAAAAAUUAUCACAAAAUGGUUGUACAAAUAUUAUUUCUCCAUAUUUUAGACACAGGCUAAUCAUUAAUUAAUUUGUGUAAAAAAAAACAAUAAUAUUAUUUUGACAACAUUAUUCAACACCUUAUCUUUCUUUCAAAAAACAUUAUUCAACACCUUAUGUUCAUAUUAUCAUUUGAUUUUCUUAAUUAUGUUUUACAUCAGUCACAUCAAGUGACAUUUUACACGCUUAUCAAUUUUUUUUGUCAAGUAGCCUAGUGUUUAGAACUCAUAUAAUUUAAUUGUGAAGAAAUGAAGUGUCAGAGAUUCGAACUCCAACCCCUGCAUAUAAUAUGCAAUAUCCCUACCAACUGAACUAAGCUCACGAAGAUCGCGGUUAUCAAUUUUUGUAGUUCAAAUAACAUCACUAAAAAAAGCUACGAGGCAGACGCACAAAUUUUCAUUGAGCAGUUGUGUUAAUUAAUUUUAUAACGCAAGGAAAAUGGUGAAGUUUUUGUGAAUAGAGAAAUGAUAUAUAUACAAUCAUUUUCAAACAACUUUUGUAAUAACUUUAUCUCUCAUUUUUAUAUUUUAUUUUUAUUUUUUUCUCUAUUAUUUUGGUUUUCGUUUAUGAUUUUUUGUAAGAAAAUGAUUGUCUAUGUAGUUAUCAAUCACAUUGAUGUUCAAAUAACAUUGCUUUUGUGAAUAAUGCAAAAUAGUUUCUCGGAACAAUCAAUUAUUCAAUUGAUAUUUACGAAAUUAGUUUUUGUAGGGUGUCCCUAUAAAUCACAUAUACUUUAAAACAGUCAUAUGUAUUCACGAUUCGAGAUCUUAUAAAAAAACCAUUCCAGAUCAUGUAUGAAAAUGAAAUAUAUAUUUUUUUUGACUGGUGUAUGAAAAUGAAAUAUUUUCAAAAAUAAAAUAUACUCUCUGCCCAUAUAAUGUCAGCGUAGGUGUCGGUGUUUUUCUACCGACUAUAAGAAAAACUGUAAAAUAAAUAAAACAAUAUAGUAAUUUAAAUUAGUGAUUGUAAAUUAUUGUCUUAAAUGUAUAGUUCAAUAUAAUAGAUUAAAAAUGAUGAAAAAAAUAUUAAUUUAAGAGUAGAAUUGAAAUAACAUAUAUGUUUUCGAUAGUUUAACUAAAUUGAUAAAGACAUUGCAUAAUAAUAUACAAGUGUUUUGAAAUUCCAUUUAUUCAUUACAUGUGAAUUUUUAGAUAUUAAACUAUUUGGAAAAUAAAAUAAAAUAUCAAAUAAUUAAGGUUUAAAUAUGUAAGUAGUCCCUGUAAUUUCGCGUAUUUUUGUUUUCGUUCCUGUAAGUUAUUUUGUUCUAAAACAAACUCUGUAUUUUGCUAACCUUUUGGAAAAGGUCCUUGCCGUCAGCUUCCGUCAACAAAAACGCCAUGGUGGCUAACGGAGCACACGUGGCAGUUCAUGAGUUGGCAAAGUUGAUGAGAUGGAAUGAGAGAUGAUAAGUUGUUAAAAUACAGGGACUAAAAUCAAAAACGUAAAUUGACACAGGGAUGAAAUUAAAAAAACGUUUAAUCUUCUUUUUCCUCUCAAAUUUCAGUCUUCUUCUUCCUCUCAAACUUUCCCCAAUCUAUCCCAUACCUUGCGCCCUUGAACCAAAACUCAUAUCCUUCAACAAUUUAUUCUAAUUCCAUUACUCAAUCAUAUUGUGUGUUUUGAUUGUAAUGUUAAGUUGAAACAUUGUAUGCUACUUAAGUUUGAUUAAUUUAGUGAUGGUUGUUGCGAUUGAUUGCAAAUUCAUUCAUAAAGUUUGUAGAUAAUAAAGGCAAGAAUACAUCUUUUUCAUCCCUCUUUUUUUUCCACAAUUCCCUCUUAUUCUUCCAGAUUGCUACAAUUACCAUACAUAAAUAGUCAGAUCCCCUUUCAUCUUUUCUCACUCACAUUCAAAUUCAAACUCUAAUUUCUCAAAUUUUUGCUUUUGAAUUGUGUAAUUUUGUGUUUUUAUGUAAUUGGUGUAGAGAGUUUAUGUUGUUUUAAUGUGUUGAUUAAGAGUGGGUCUUGUUGUUGUUGAUUGAUGAUUAUUAGUUUUGUUUAAAAAAAUAUAUAUGUUUGUUGUUUUCUUUCUUUUCCUGGGUUUGGUGUUGAUGAUUUAUGAAUAUGGUGAUGAAGAUGAAGAAGACAAUGAAGGAAGAAGAAGAAUAAGAUCUUGAUUUUAAAUUUGAAAUUUUGAUUUUACGUUUUUUAUUUUAGUCCCUGUGGUAAUUUACGCUUUUGAUUUUAGUCCCUGACUUUACACAACUAAUCAUCUCUCAUGCCAUCUCAUCAAAUGUGCCAAGUCAUGACCUGCCACCUGUGCUCCGUUAGCCACAAUGGCGUUUUUGUUGACAGAAGCUGAUGGUAAGGACCAUUUUCAAAAGGUCAAAAAGAUACAAGGUUUAUUUUAUAUAAAAAAAAAAACUUACAAGGACGAAAACAAAAAAUACGCGAACUUAGAGGAACCUUUUACAUAUUUAAGCCAAUAACUAAUAGCACUUAUUUUGGUACAUUUCUCUUUUGCAAAUGUGAAACUUAAUAUUGGAUGGGGUCAAUAAUUUUGAGAAUGAAUAAACCCAUUAUUUAGUCUUUUAAUUUUUUUUUUCCAUCCAUCAGGUUUCUAAACUAUUUACAAACACUAAAUGUCCUUAAGACAUAGCUCAAGUAACAAUAUUGAUAUUGAGAAGUUGGAUAUUUUCAUCCGAGUUUGAACUCGAAUUCUUGCAAUUACGAGUGUGAAUUUCAGGUAAUUUAUAUCAAUUUAUCUGUAAACAAAAGGAGAUAUAUACGCGUAACAAAUAGGUCUAAUGCAAAUUAACAACUUAUUUUUAGUUUAUAAAAUAUAUGAAAUUUAAUCCUUUAGUCCCUAGUAUAUUUUAACAAUGGGCACUAAAGCAACAUAUAUUUCAUAUAUUUUAAAUACUACUACAUCUUUCCUUAUGUAUAAGCUCAUUUGACAUUUUCACAUAUAUUAAAAAAGUUAGUAGUGUCUUGACAAAAAAGAAGCUCCUUAGAGUUUCCUUAUGUAUAUUUUUUUAAACCGAAAAAAUUGUGUACAAAAAAUGACUAUUAUUACUAAAAAAAAUCUUUUGCAUAUAGAUGUGUUCAACAUUUAUUUUGCAAUUCUCAAGACAAAUCAGUGGUACAUCUUAAUAAGUGAUAUAUUUGUUAGGAAAAAAAAUUACUAUAUGUAUCUAGUUAUUUGCAAGACUAAUGAUUCUUAGCAAAUAUGCUUAUAUUGAGAGAACUUUUUUCUAAAGAGAGCUUAUAAUUAGAGACUAAGAUUUUGCCAAAAAAUAAAGAAAAAUUAGAGAAUAAGGUUUAUACUAUACUUUAGAAACUAAUUUGAUGAGAUACGACUAAAUCGAAGAUAUAUUUUUUUAGAAUAGUGUUAGAACCUUAGAAAUUAUAAUCAAUAGAAAUAGAAAUGUUCCUUACAGAUCCAUAAUAGUGACAAUCUUGUCUUUUCUUUUGAGGAAAUAAUAAUAAAGGUGGUGCCAACAUUUCAACAAACCUAGCUAUUUUAAUUAUUCUGUUCUCACAGCCUGCACCUUAGAUCAAAUCCAAAUUGGGUCAUCACCGUUCCAAAAUGCUUAGGGACGUUACUCUAAAUGUCAAUAUGAAUGAGUAAUUCAAAUAGUUAACAUAGCCCGCCAGCCUUAUAUAAUAAUAUCAAUAUAUGUCGACUAAUUAUCGAGAUGCUAAAUUGGAGUACACUUCACAAACAAAAAUCUUUCAUAAGGCGUUUUUUCUCUUAAUACAUUUUUUCUUUUCUUAUGCUAGUAACAUUUACUCUGUAUUGGCCUUCCUAAGAAGAAGUUGGAUAGUAGCAAUGUGUUCGUGAGACUGCUGAUAUCUUAAAAGAAUGUUCUCAUAGAUUCCACUUUUUUAGUAAGCUUUUAUGUGUAUGAGUUUGCAAAUUUAACCCUUUUUAAUUCGGAUAGAUUUAUAAGUCACACCUUCAAGUACAAUCGACAAAAUUUCAGUAAUAAUUACGGUUUAGGGUUUAUGGGUCUAGAUCUACUAAAAAUGAGUGGGUGUAUAAAUUAGUAUAUCCUAGAGUUUAUUAUCUUACGUUCGAUCUUCUUUGCAGAAACUCGUGCAUGUUCGUGAUAUAUAUUUUCGCGAGAAGUACAUUUCCCUAAAACAAAAUCAACCACUGACAUAAACACGUCAAAUGUAAGCCGGUAAAUCCAAGCUUUACUAACACGAGUUAUAUUAUAUCAUUGGCAUCAGCUACUUAAGAACUACUGUAGAAAAUUUACAGCAAGUCAUCGAGGCUUAAUAAAAUGUGUUGAUAUAGUUACAAAGAUAAAUUAAAUAGCAGAGCAUACAUGAAGAGAACAAAUGUAGAGCAACCCCUUAAACAAACCCUCUCAGUAAGGUAUCUUCACAUUACUCUAAGUUCAUAAAAGAUGACUUUAAAAACGAUUAUUUCAAAAUGCAAGUAUUCUCCGACCCCUUUUUCCCGGAUCUAGAUCUAAUAGUGUAAGGAUAUAUAUAAAUCAUUGUCACAUUUUACAACUCAAGAGUUUACCUCAACUCGUUUUGUUUAGGUAAAUUCGACUCGAGAACUCGUAUGACUUUACCUAAAAUUAAAAUUAUAUAAAAUUUAUUAUAUAUGCAUGACAUAUGUAAGUUAAUAUAAUAUUGUAAAUAGGUCAAUAGUGCAAAAUAUGACUUAAUUACAAAGACAAAUUAUACCAUAAUAAAAUGUUAUGCUCAACUUAGCUUCAAAAUACAAAAAUUAACGCACAAAAUCAUAAGUCUCUAAGUUUAAGCCAUCCAUAAAACCAUCCAAAAAAAGAAAGUUUCACAAGUUCCUAAAGUUAUUAAUAAAACUAUCUAAAAAAUAAAGUAGUUAAUUUCUUCAAAACGUCAACAAACACCACCACAACAACCCUAACCAGUGUCACAAUCACCGGCGUUGAAAUAUGAAUUUCCACCGUCUGAAUCACAACCCUAAAUGGUAUGUGCUCCCCUGUUCAUGGUUUGAGAACUUAGAAAAGAAAAAGGGCAAUCCGGUGCACUAAAGCUCCCACAUACGCAGGGUCCGGGAAGGGGUCCCACCAUUUUUUGUGUAUUGUACGCAACCUUACCCUGUUUUUGAUCACAAAAGAAAAAGAAACGUUUCAUUUUAGGAACAACUUGUCACUGUAAAGGUAACUAUUAAUUAAACGUUUCAGUCUUUGGGGUUGUAGAAAAGGAAUUGGAUUUUGAAAAAAAUGGGCACAUAAAAAGGGCCAAUUUUUAGAUGUAAACUCGUAAAACUCAGUAAACUCGGUCGAGUUUACACGAGUUUACCUAGUGUUAACUCGGUCAAACUCGUUAAACCUUCCAAUUUUACCAGAAACCGAGUUUACCUCCGAAUUAACAUGAUUUUGGCACCUACGUAAACUCGAAGAGUUAACACUCAAUUUGCGGAACAUUGCAUAUAUAUUUAAAGAUAUAUGUAUAAUUAUAGAGAAAGUAGAGAAGGGAUAUACCAUUUUAUGUAGGGUUAUUAUGUAUCAAAUCAUAAAGAGUCGAGAGUUGUAUUAUACCAUAAUAUUCUUCCGUAAACUGGUAGUCAUGAUCAUGACGUAUAUUAUUCAAGUAUAUGCAAAAACAUGUCUGUAUCUAGUCUAAAUUUUUGACCAAAUGCAUGUAUUUGCUUAUAUUUUGUUACUACUUACUACUCGCCAAGUAAUGCUCAAUAUCUAAUAUAUAUAUUUCAAGACCAUCAAAGAUAACUCAGUUGAACAAUACAUAAUAUAUGCAAGGUUCGGGGUAUAUUACAUUUUCAAUUAUUCUAAUAAUAAAUUUAAAUGACACUUAAAUUAUACAACUAUUAAAUAGAUCUUAGUACCGUAAAAUUUAUAUUCGAGACUUGCUAGGGAGAACCAUCAACCUCAACAAAAAUUUCUACUUGAAUCUAACGCAAACAAAAGGUCCAACCAUCUAUGAAUCUCCGUUGAUAUCACAAAUGAUGUUUGAUACAAGAGAGACAUAUUAGAACAUAAUCUAUGUACAAUCUACAUUAAAAUAAAAAACAAGUCUACAGUCAUAUAAAUAACACAAUUUCAAAAUCUCAAAAUUAGGUAUGAAAACAAAAUGAUUAGAAAAAUAAAUGAUUCAAUCAUUCCGAGAUUUGUGCAAAAAAAAAAAAAAAAACAUUUUGAAAAUACAAUGUUAGAAACUUAUGAUCAAUAUAUAUUUUUCCUUACACAUCAAAAAUAAUUAAGCUAUAUUCUUGUCUUUUCAUUUUGGGCAAACUAAAAUUAAAAUCAAGGUAGUGUCAAUGUUUCUAUAGUCCUAGCUAUUUGAUUUUCUUCUAAGCUAACAAGAGUCUUCCAAAAUCAAAUUCGCGCUCAAAAUUAAAGCAACUUGGGUGGUAACCAUUCCAAAAUACUUAGGGCCACAUUGCUCUAAAAGUCAAUAAGAAUAAGUAAUAAUUCAAAGAUAGCCAACCUUAUAGUAUAUUUUAAUAUGAAUGUAUGCAUGUUUCCUAGAAGGUGAGUAAGCUAACUAAUCAAGAUACUUUGUUGGAGUUAAAUAUGGUAAAGAAUCCAACUAUAAAAUGGGGACUUGCCCCAGCAUUCUUUCACAAACCAAAACCAACUUCUAAGAAAAAAAUGAGGUCCCUAAUGGCCUCUGCUUCUCUCACUCUUGCAUUAGCCAUCCUCUUUUUGAGUUUCCCAUCUGAAAUUUCAGCAAACAAAUACGCAUAUUCCUCUCCACCACCACCACAUUACUCAUCUCCUCCACCUCCACCGGUUCACACUUACCCUAAACCAGUCUACCACUCUCCACCACCACCAGUUCACACCUACCCUAAACCAGUUUACCACUCUCCACCACCACCAGUUCACAAGUACCCUCACCCUAAACCAGUAUACCACUCUCCACCACCCCCAGUUCACAAGUACCCUCAUCCACACCCAGUCUACCAUUCUCCACCACCCCCAGUUCACAAGUACCCCCAUCCUCACCCAGUGUACCACUCUCCCCCACCACCACCACCAAAGAAGUCCUACAAAUACCCAUCUCCCCCACCACCACCAGUUCACACCUACCCUAAACCAGUCUACCACUCUCCUCCACCCCCAGUUCAUCACACCUACCCUAAACCAGUCUACCACUCUCCUCCACCCCCAGUUCACACCUACCCUCACCCUAAACCAGUCUACCACUCUCCACCACCCCCAGUUCACACUUACCCUAAACCAGUCUACCACUCCCCACCACCACCAGUUCACACCUACGUCCCUCACCCUAAGCCAGUCUACCACUCUCCACCACCACCAGUUCACACCUAUCCCCCACAUGUUCCCCACCCAGUUUACCAUUCUCCUCCUCCUCCAGUUCAUUCCCCACCUCCACCACACUAUUACUACAAAUCACCUCCUCCACCUUACCACAACUAGAUAGCCCAUAAUUGGCAUCACACCAUAUGGUAACUUUUCAUGCAACAUAUAUAUUAUAACUUUUCAUAUUCUCUCUUUAUUAACUAGUUAUCGGUAUGAUUGUCGAGUAUAUACUAACAAGGCUAAUUUGAAAUGAAACUUCAUGUGCAAUGAAACAUUCUUUUACUGGUUAAUAUUUUAUUCUAUGUUUCAUUGAAAUUAAUAUUUUUCUAAUAGUAUUUGGUUAUUAAGGGAUUAGAGUAUAUCAGACAUAAACUGACAGAUCAAUAUAUUUGC